Molecule: ribosomal RNA, 301 nt
Filed under: uncultured bacterium
Lineage: Bacteria
Description: partial 16S ribosomal RNA
Rfam family: Bacterial small subunit ribosomal RNA
Source: RNAcentral
CAGUAGCCGCGGUAAUACGAACCGUGCGAACGUUAUUCGGAAUUACUGGGCUUAAAGCGCGUGUAGGCGGAUCGCCACGUCGGUCGCUGAAAUCCCCCGGCUCAACCGGGGAACGGGCGCCGAUACGGGCGGUCUCGAGGGGGGUAGGGGGGACCGGAACUUCCGGUGGAGCGGUGAAAUGCGUUGAGAUCGGAAGGAACGCCCGUGGCGAAAGCGAGUCCCUGGACCCUUUCUGACGCUGAGACGCGAAAGCCAGGGGAGCGAACGGGAUUAGAUACCCGCGUAGUCCCUGUCUCUUAUA